RNAcentral lists this ribosomal RNA (253 nucleotides) under uncultured bacterium. RNAcentral's name for it is "partial 16S ribosomal RNA". It matches the Rfam family "Bacterial small subunit ribosomal RNA", at positions 524 to 776 of the family's 1533-position model. The record is from RNAcentral.
UACGUAGGGAGCAAGCGUUGUCCGGAAUCAUUGGGCGUAAAGCGUGCGUAGACGGUUAUGUAAGUCAGAUGUGAAAGCCCCGGGCUUAACCUGGGAAUGGCAUUUGAGACUGCAUAGCUAGGGUGCGGAAGAGGGAAGCGGAAUUUCCGGUGUAGCGGUGAAAUGCGUAGAUAUCGGAAGGAACACCAGUGGCGAAAGCGGCUUCCUGGUCCAGCACCGACGUUCAGGCACGAAAGCGUGGGGAGCAAACAGG